UCAUCAUGCCCCUUAUGACCUGGGCUACACACGUGCUACAAUGGUUGGUACAACGAGUUGCGAGUCGGUGACGGCGAGCUAAUCUCUUAAAGCCAAUCUCAGUUCGGAUUGUAGGCUGCAACUCGCCUACCAUGAAGUCGGAAUCGCUAGUAAUCGCGGAUCAGCACGCCCGCGGUCGAAUACGUUCCGGGCCUU
Molecule: ribosomal RNA, 195 nt
Filed under: uncultured Streptococcus sp.
Lineage: Bacteria; Bacillati; Bacillota; Bacilli; Lactobacillales; Streptococcaceae
Description: partial 16S ribosomal RNA
Rfam family: Bacterial small subunit ribosomal RNA
Source: RNAcentral